CGCGGUAAUACGUAGGGUGCAAGCGUUAAUCGGAAUUACUGGGCGUAAGGCGUGCGCAGGCGGUUGUGUAAGACAGGCGUGAAAUCCCCGGGCUCAACCUGGGAAUUGCGCUUGUGACUGCACGGCUGGAGUGCGGCAGAGGGGGAUGGAAUUCCGCGUGUAGCAGUGAAAUGCGUAGAUAUGCGGAGGAACACCGAUGGCGAAGGCAAUCCCCUGGGCCUGCACUGACGCUCAUGCACGAAAGCGUGGGGAGCAAACAGGGUUAGAUACCCUGGUAGUCCACGCCCUAAACGAUGUCAACCGGUUGUUGGGUCUCUUCUGACUCAGUAACGAAGCUAACGCGUGAAGUUGACCGCCUGGGGAGUACGGCCGCAAGGUUGAAACCCAAAGGAAUUGACGGGGACCCGCACAAGCGGUGGAUGAUGUGGUUUAAUUCGAUGCAACGCGAAAAACCUUACCCACCUUUGACAUGUACGGAAUCCUUUAGAGAUAGAGGAGUGCUCGAAAGAGAGCCGUAACACAGGUGCUGCAUGGCUGUCGUCAGCUCGUGUCGUGAGAUGUUGGGUUAAGUCCCGCAACGAGCGCAACCCUUGUCAUUAGUUGCUACGAAAGGGCACUCUAAUGAGACUGCCGGUGACAAACCGGAGGAAGGUGGGGAUGACGUCAAGUCCUCAUGG
RNAcentral lists this ribosomal RNA (677 nucleotides) under uncultured bacterium. RNAcentral's name for it is "bacterial SSU rRNA". It matches the Rfam family "Bacterial small subunit ribosomal RNA", at positions 516 to 1198 of the family's 1533-position model. The record is from RNAcentral.